GUAGGCUUUGGAAACUGUUUAACUUGAGUGCAGAAGGGGAGAGUGGAAUUCCAUGUGUAGCGGUGAAAUGCGUAGAUAUAUGGAGGAACACCGGUGGCGAAAGCGGCUNUCUGGUCUGUAACUGACGCUGAGGCUCGAAAGCGUGGGGAGCGAACAGGAUUAGAUACCCUGGUAGUNCACGCCGUAAACGAUGAGUGCUAGGUGUUAGGUCCUUUCCGGGACUUAGUGCCGCAGCUAACGCAUUAAGCACUCCGCCUGGGGAGUACGACCGCAAGGUUGAAACUCAAAGGAAUUGACGGGGGCCCGCACAAGCGGUGGAGCAUGUGGUUUAAUUCGAAGCAACGCGAAGAACCUUACCAGGUCUUGACAUCCCGAUGCUAUUUCUAGAGAUAGGAAGUUUCUUCGGAACAUCGGUGACAGGUGGUGCAUGGUUGUCGUCAGCUCGUGUCGUGAGAUGUUGGGUUAAGUCCCGCAACGAGCGCAACCCUUAUUGUUAGUUGCCAUCAUUGAGUUGGGCACUCUAGCGAGACUGCCGGUAAUAAACCGGAGGAAGGUGGGGAUGACGUCAAAUCAUCAUGUCCCUUAUGACCUGGGCUACACACGUGCUACAAUGGCUGGUACAACGAGUCGCAAGCCGGUGACGGCAAGCUAAUCUCUGAAAGCCAGUCUCAGUUCGGAUUGUAGGCUGCAACUCGCCUACAUGAAGUCGGAAUCGCUAGUAAUCGCGGAUCAGCACGCCGCGGUGAAUACGUUCCCGGGCCUUGUACACACCGC
Molecule: ribosomal RNA, 774 nt
Filed under: uncultured bacterium
Lineage: Bacteria
Description: bacterial SSU rRNA
Rfam family: Bacterial small subunit ribosomal RNA
Source: RNAcentral